RNAcentral lists this ribosomal RNA (424 nucleotides) under Entedon zanara. RNAcentral describes it as "eukaryotic LSU rRNA". The record is from RNAcentral. Lineage: Eukaryota; Metazoa; Arthropoda; Insecta; Hymenoptera; Eulophidae.
AAAAGAUCGAAUGGGGAGAUUCAUCGUCAGCGUGGCUGGCUUCCGUGCGGUUCGCGAUGGCCGGGACCUCGGUCCCGCGUCACGCGUCCGCCGCGGUUGUGCCCGGCCGCGUCGGCGUGCACUUCUCCCCUAGUAGGACGUCGCGACCCGUUGGGUGUCGGACCGAUGGCCGUUUGGUCGCCUGCCACGUCGCGUUCACGCGUGCACGCGGCANACCGAAAUGGUCGAGCGUCCGGCUGCCCGGCGGUAUAGAACGCAUAUUGAACGGUAAUGAGCCGCAUUAAGUGCGUUCAGGCUCGCCGGCAGGCUCGUCUCGCCCGGAUUUACGGACCAAGCGCCGUUGCCGGGUGCUUGGCGUGGCCGUUAGUCGGCGAUGUCCUCGGACUGGCUCUAAAAUUCGAAAGGAUUACCGGUCGGCGACGCU